UCGACGCGUCCUCUUUGUCCCCCCCCCAACCCCUAACUGUCCCCAACGUCCGCUGUCCUACGGCUGUGCCCCCCGUCAGCAGCGUCCCCAGCGUGUCCCCAAAAACGUGUCCCCAAAAACGUGUCCCCAAAAACGUGUCCCCUUUCGUGUCCCCCACCCUGUCCCCCUCUCGCCUCUCUUGUUGCCCAAACGUCUUCGUUGUGUCCCCAGCGUGUCCCUGUCACGUCCCCAGCGUGUCCCCGUUGUGUCCCCACGUCCCCAGCACGUCCCCAGUGUCUCCCCAGCACGUCCCCAGGGUGUCCCCAUGUCCCCAACGUGUCCCCAAGGUGUCCCCGUGUCCCCAGUGUGCCCCCCUCAUGUCCCCAGUGUCUCCCCAUGUCCCCAACACGUCCCCAGCAUGUCCCCAAUAUCUUCCUAAUGUGUCCCCAUGUCCCCAACGUGUCCCCAACGUCUCCCCAUCAUGUCCCCAUGUCCCCACCAUGUCCCCAUCAUGCCCCCAGUGUCUCCCUAGCGUGUCCCCAUGUCCCCAACGUGCCCCCAUCAUGUCCCCAGUGUCUCCCAACAUGUCCCCAGCGUGUCCCCAACAUGUCCCCUUGUCCCCAGCAUGCCCCCAUCAUGUCCCCAGUGUCUCCCCAUCGUGUCCCCAUGUCCCCAGCGUGUCCCCAUCGUGUCCCCAACGUCUCCCCACCGUGUCCCCAUCAUGUCCCAGUGUUUCCCCAACAUGUCCCCAUCAUGUCCCCAUGUCCCCACCGUGUCCCCACCAUGUCCCCAGUGUCUCCUCAUCGUGUCCCCAUGUCCCUAGCAUGUCACAAUCAUGUCCCAGUGUUUCCCCAACGUGUCCCCACCGUGUCCCCAGUGUGUCCCCAUCAUGUCCCCAUGU
RNAcentral lists this long non-coding RNA (880 nucleotides) under Anser brachyrhynchus (Pink-footed goose). RNAcentral's name for it is "lncRNA (ENSABRG00000023142.1)". Lineage: Eukaryota; Metazoa; Chordata; Aves; Anseriformes; Anatidae. The record is from RNAcentral.